Molecule: long non-coding RNA, 841 nt
Filed under: Danio rerio (zebrafish)
Lineage: Eukaryota; Metazoa; Chordata; Actinopteri; Cypriniformes; Danionidae
Description: si:ch211-247i17.4 (ENSDARG00000098047.2)
Source: RNAcentral
CAGUGACAGACGAAUAAAAUCACAAUUUCAGCAUAACAAGUGUGCUGACGCUCUGCGUAGUGUUGGGUGAAAACCGUGAGGCACUUUGUUGAUGCUCCGUCAACAAUUUACUAAAAACAUGCGUCACGUUUGGAGGAUGACAAUAGUACAAAUUAAAAAAACAAACCGUUCAGUAUACAAAAACAACUCCUUAGUCCAAAUUCCACUCUUAGUCUAUCCAAAGGCAAACUCUCGUGUUUCAAAUGUACAGUCAAACGCUGCUCCAGACAUUAGAACACAUUUUAGCAUUAGCCACUAAUCGAUACACAAGAUACCUAUGAAACCAGUUGAUGAAGGGUUAGUUCACGCAAAAAUGUAAACGAUCAAGUUAUUUUCUCACACUAAAAGCAUCCCAGGAGCCUACAUGACAUUAUUCAUUUAGUCAAAUCCAGUCAAGAGUAAUAUUAAAAAUCCUCUUGGGCUUUUCCAGCUCUAUAAUGGCCAAUACUCCAAUAAAGUGCAUAAUCCAUUAUAAAAAAAGUACCUCACGCAGCUUUGGUAGAUGAAUAAACGACUUCUUGAGCAAAUCCAUGUGUUUUUGUUAGAGAGAUAUCCAUAUUUAAAACUUUAUAAACUGUUUUGUGUUUUAACUUCCAGCAUAAGUUGCCUUCUUCUGACGCUGAGCGCCAUCUGCUGGACAGGAGUCUUUUUUUUUUAUCUCUUAAGUGUGAAGCUGAACAAGCGCAAUGAAAAGAGACAAACAAAGCACACUCUUGUCCAGCUGAUGGCGCUUUGUAUACCAAAAAAUGCAUUUAAAUAGUAAAUUAAGACAGAAGUUUUUUUUUUUUAUGAACAAAACCAU